GAAAUGCGAUAAGUAGUGUGAAUUGCAGAAUUCAGUGAAUCAUCGAAUCUUUGAACGCACAUUGCGCCCCUUGGUAUUCCAUGGGGCAUGCCUGUUCGAGCGUCAUUUGUACCCUCAAGCAUUGCUUGGUGUUGGGCGUGUGUCCGCUGCUUUGCAGAUUGGACUGGCCUUAAAACAAUUGGCAGCCGGCUUGUUGGCCUGGAGCGCAGCACAAAUUGCGCCUCUUGUCAAAUUAGUUGGCAUCCAUCAAGAACUUUUUAGCUCUUGACCUCGGAUCAGGUAGGGAUACCCGCUGAACUUAA
RNAcentral lists this unclassified non-coding RNA (302 nucleotides) under uncultured fungus. RNAcentral's name for it is "sequence contains ITS1". The stretch from base 1 to 105 matches the Rfam family "5.8S ribosomal RNA", at positions 50 to 154 of the family's 154-position model. The record is from RNAcentral. Lineage: Eukaryota; Fungi.